CUGGCUCAGGACGAACGCUGGCGGCGUGCCUAACACAUGCAAGUCGAGCGGGGACAUUGCGACGGACAUGAAGAUUUCGGUUGGAUUGAAAGAUGUAAUGUUCUAGCGGCGGACGGGUGAGUAACGCGUGAGCAACCUGUCCCUUACAGGGGGAUAACACAGCGAAAGUUGUACUAAUACCGCAUAAGACCACAGGAUGACAUCGUCCAGGGGUCAAAGGAGCAAUCCGGUAAGGGGUGGGCUCGCGUCCGAUUAGAUAGUUGGUGAGGUAACGGCCCACCAAGUCGACGAUCGGUAGCCGACCUGAGAGGGUGAUCGGCCACAUUGGGACUGAGACACGGCCCAAACUCCUACGGGAGGCAGCAGUGGGGAAUAUUGGGCAAUGGGGGAAACCCUGACCCAGCAACGCCGCGUGAGGGAAGAAGGUUUUCGGAUCGUAAACCUCUGUCCUUGGUGAAGAGGAAGAGACGGUAGCCAAGGAGGAAGCCCCGGCUAACUACGUGCCAGCAGCCGCGGUAAUACGUAGGGGGCGAGCGUUGUCCGGAAUGAUUGGGCGUAAAGGGCGCGUAGGCGGCCCGGUAAGUCUGGAGUGAAAGUCCUGCUUUUAAGGUGGGAAUUGCUUUGGAUACUGUCGGGCUUGAGUGCAGGAGAGGUAAGUGGAAUUCCCAGUGUAGCGGUGAAAUGCGUAGAGAUUGGGAGGAACACCAGUGGCGAARGCGACUUACUGGACUGUAACUGACGCUGAGGCGCGAAAGUGUGGGGAGCAAACAGGAUUAGAUACCCUGGUAGUCCACACUGUAAACGAUGAAUGCUAGGUGUAGGGGGUAUCGACCCCUUUCUGUGCCGCAGUUAACACAAUAAAGCAUUCCGCCUGGGGGAGUACGGCCGCAAAGGUUGAAAACUCAAAAGGAAUUGACGGGGGGCCCGCACAAAGCAGCGGAGCAUGUGGUUUAAAUUCGACGCAACGCGAAGAACCUUACCAGGUCUUGACAUCCAGUAAAAAGCCAUAGAGAUAUGGUGUGUGCUUGCACAUACUGAGACAGGUGGUGCAUGGUUGUCGUCAGCUCGUGUCGUGAGAUGUUGGGUUAAGUCCCGCAACGAGCGCAAACCCUUAUUUUCAGUUACUAACGGGUAAAGCCGA
Molecule: ribosomal RNA, 1141 nt
Filed under: uncultured bacterium
Lineage: Bacteria
Description: bacterial SSU rRNA
Rfam family: Bacterial small subunit ribosomal RNA
Source: RNAcentral